UAGUUAAUGAACUUACAAUUCUGUCUAGC
This 29-nucleotide non-coding RNA is filed under the name Mus musculus (house mouse). The record is from RNAcentral. Lineage: Eukaryota; Metazoa; Chordata; Mammalia; Rodentia; Muridae.